GGGCCAGGGGGUCUGGUUUUAUAGUCCCCUCAAGUGAACCUGGGCCGUCGGAUCAAACCGACAUUGAUUGAACGGUUAUUCUUGAUCCUUUAGGUCGGUGGAGCAUAAUCCGCGAGAUUGAGCGUGAUUGGCCAUAGGAGGUGGGCGGGCGCCCAGUAGGACAGGGCGGGCGCCCUGUCUCUGGCCCCAUUUCGCCUCCGCUUCGGUCUCGUGGCUUCUGGAGUCUUCUAGAUGUAAGAUAAUUGCGCGGCACGUUGAUAUCUCUAUGUAAUCCCGACGUGUGGGCCUUUCUUCCUUAUUUCCUGAUAACCCCCUGCAGAAAUAGACAAACACCAAAACUCGUGGAAUUCUGUCAGAUAAAACCCUAAGUCUAGAUGUUGAUUUCAUUUGGAUCCUUUUCUUUGUUUAUUUGAUAAUUAAAUUUGAUACUUAAGGACCGUCAACAAACUUCCCCAAGCUUACCUCUUGCUCAUCCCUGAGCAAGGAUAGACUCAGCAAUGGAUCAGAAGUUGUUGCAAUAUCUUAAAAAUUUGACGGUACACAUACUUUUAAAUGAGGUCUCAUCUCUGAGUUAGAGUAAACUGUCAAGACUUAAAACUUACUUACUUUACCUUUCACCAUGGGACUUGUAACCGUCACUUCUGUCUUGAGUGGUUAAAAGAUAGAACAGUCCCGUCAAGUGCCAUGUCUCUUAUUCGUGAUCAGCUAUAGCUCUGGAGUUUUUGCAGAUUUUCAAAUAAAACUCAGAGAUUCCUUUGUAUGACUCUCUCAUAUCUCUCUUUUGUGGUAUUUCUGGAUCCUUACCAAGGCAGUGAUGGUAUAUGCCUUCUCUCAAAAUAUGUGGUAUUUGUGGUAUAAGGGAUAGUGACAUUGCCCUCUCUCUCACCCUACUCUAAUAAGGCUUUAAUAUCUGGAGCUCAUAGGUGGGAGAUAAAGUAUACAUACUUACAAGAAAUUUAUUGUAUAGUCAAACCAUGGAUCCAAAGAAACAAAUCAAUAAGCCAAAUCAAGAUGUGCAUGUGUGGCGAAUGAAUAGUGUAUGGUGAUGAUGGUGAUAACAAUGGUGAAAGUCUAAUUCUACUUUUGCUCUUUUGAGGGGAUACAUACCUUCCUUGCUUUUUGAAACUUUAUGAGGAGAAUGAGAUGCUCUUCUUUUUCUUUCCUCUCAGGUGGGUAUCUUGUACCCCUAAUUCUACUGUCGGACACUUGUCCAUUUUUACCUCUCGUCUCACUCUUUUUGUUUUCUUUCGAGGUUCCGGGCACUUGCCCCUUUUUAUUUCCUCGUUUAUUUUUUUUUCUUUUCUUUUUUUUUCUUCUUUUUUUUUCAGAGCACUCAUCUCUUGAGAUAAUAUAGCAAGUGGUAGUCGCAAGAUAACUUGAGCAUUUAUUUUACAAGAGAAAAACACAGAUGUUUUUGGCUAUUCUCUCCCGAAUUAGGAGUAGAAUAUUUUUAGGUGAUUUUGGAGAUGGAAAUGGAUGGAUAUAUGUGGAUGGUACUUCCGGAGUAGAAGUAGCAUAUAUGAGUGAACGUGCAAGUGAAUCUUGAUUUAACCACAUGACAAGCUCCUAAGGGUCUACACAGCUUGACUACACUCAAUGCUCAUAAGCAGUAAAUAAUAAAUGUGUGGCUCAAAGUCUAGCAAGCAUGUAUAUAUGGCUGUGGUAGAAAUUUAAACUCUCAUCAUACAGGAACUCAUCAUGCAACAUUUUAAAGAUUUUCAAAGAUAAAAUUCUCUAGAAUUCUAGCAUCUCUAGGAACAGAUAAACAGCAGCUCAACCUUCCCAUAUCUUAUCCGUUAACAACUUAGAUUUCAGAUCAAGUUUUCAUCCCACAAGUUUAGAUCUAGAGCAAGCUUUAAAUUAUAACAGUUAUGUCUAAACUUGAGAGAGAACUUUAAAUUUGCAAAUUAGGCAGAGCAACUAUUCAUCAUAUCCAUGCUAGAGUUUUAUUAUUAAGAUUCAUAGCAAACUUUAUUUAUUUAUUUAUUUAUUUAUUUAGCAAACUAAGAAAAGAUAUAUAUAUAUAUAAGCAUAAAAUCUUUAUUUGGUUUUUCAUAGUUUAUGUAUUUUAAUAUUCUAAUAUAAGUAUAAAGAUAGGUAGAAAUACUUAGUGAGAUAAAUAGGGGUGCUUUCCCCCAAGCUGAAUUUUGACGUAAUUUCUCUUGAUGUAGCUAGCAGGUGGCAGAGGUGUAUUUGAAAGUCAGCAGCAUUCUGACAGCGAUUAGAAUGUCCUCCGUCUGCUAGUCUUCUUGAUUCUUAAAUUCUGUGGAGCUCAAAUAGACAACAAAGCUUGUGGAACUAAUUAAGUGUUAGCAUAAAUAUCUAGCCUUCAUCACGUUGAGCUUCCUCAAUAAAUAUUACUCCCUGUUUUUAUAUAUUUUUAUUUUAUAAAGUAGAAAAGAAAUAUUUAUUUUAUUUUUAUGCCACCACAGUGAAGGUACUUAUGGGUUUUAUGCCACUCGUAUACUCACAUGGGGCUUAGUAUUUUUUAACAUUUUUAUUAGCUUUUCAAGAUAGCAUGAUUAACUAAAAAUCUAUUUAAGGAAAGUAAAUAAUUAAAGGGAAAAGGAAAUGCAGAAAGGAUAAAUAUGGAUAACUACCAAUCUUACCUUUCGGCGAGAGUUCAAUGUUUUAAGUCUUCUUGACAAGACUUCUCACCGUGUUCAUUCUUCAGGUGCGUCAUUUGAUUCAGGUGCGGACCUUGACGUCUGCACCUUUUAAUACGGUGUCACCCAUGUUCUUCGUUUGCCCAGCAGUUCGAAGUGCGGUGCUAGCAGUAUCUUGCUCACUGUGUUUGUGCUCGUAGUGUACCUGCUCAUAGAGACAAGGCAGAGAUCAAGUGCAUGGGCCCUGUUGGUGGAAAACACCAACAGAACCAAAAGUGUAUUUGUUCUUCUCUAACCUUAAGCAUAGUGAGCAAGACAAAGUUGAUGGAUGAUAAGUUCAUGAGUGUAGCACUUAUAACAUUUGUCAGAUCAGAUCGCUCAACCUUAUAGAAAGAUAAUCUAUCUAUGUAUAUGUCUUUUUCUUUAUAUCUCUCAAUGAUUGAAUGUGUAACAUUUUAGCUCAUAUGAUUAGGAGUGUGGGAUCACGGAGGUAGUACUAAGAACAAGGAUUAAAGGACUAAACAUGUUGAAUCAGUUGGGUUGGUUAAUCUAGAGUUGUAAAUCAUACACGUUUGUCUCUUUUAUUUAUAUGAACGCCAGAACCAAGGAGAAGCUUAUAAAAGUGAUAGUCAAGUACCUUAAGAUGUUACCUUGCUUGAAGAGUGAUGGUACAGUAUCAUCUUGUGGAAGCUUUCCUUUCUUAGCAGUUGUGCAUCGUGUUUGUGGCACCGUCCAUGGAUCAUCUCUCUAUGAUGAAUGAGCUAUGUCCUUCUUGUGCAAAUUGUUAAACUUCAUAUGUCACUCUCUUCGUCUCUGAUGUGAGUUUAUCUCAGGACUUCCCAAAUCAAUAUUGAAAGUUUUUUUGUAGGGGUUAGUCCGACAAAAUAUACCAAUAUCAACUCAAGCAGUUUUUUUUAGUUCAAUAACCAAACUAGACUCCAUGUCUAAUCAGAUUAAGGAAGGCUAUUUAACCUAAGCACCAUGCUUAAUUUAAAUGCCAAUGGAAGUAUGGCGAGUACUUCCAAACCAACACUUGCUAGUAAAUAGACAAAGGUAGCAUGACAGCAUUUAUAGAGAUCUACUCAAGUGGAGAUGAAGUAGUGUGAUUAGUAUUUAACAAAUUGAGCAUGUCUCAAAGGUAGGGACAACCAGCAUAGCAACAUGGCAAAGGAUGUUUUUAUGUAAAGUACUCCCCCAAGCUUGAAUUUUGCAAAAUUCAAGUUUGGAUGAAUUUAAUCCAAUGUUGUAUGAUGAUUGGUUGGACAUACCUUGUGCUUGUCAUUCAUCCGAUCUUCUUGCUCCAAUCCUAGAAAGGUUAGUGACAAGAAUACCCAAAGGAAUAUUUUUUUUUACAAUUAUCCUUAUAUGCUCAAUACACAAGGUAAUGUUGCAAAUAAUUAAAAGCUCAUGUUACGAUCUGAUCAAUGCUUAUUUUAAGACACUAAGCUUGUCCUUAGGAAACCAUCAGUUUAUGUUGGCGAAGUGGUUUCCCCUCUGACGCCAACCUAUAUCUAGAUCAACUCAACGAGAUCUGCAAUAUUUAUUAUAGACAUAUGCAUCGACAACCGCCCUUUUAAAGUUUUUAUAAAUAGAAAGGAAGAGGGGGUUGGAGAUCUCAAGUGUGGUGAUGUCGGAGAGACCAAUAGAUUGGAAAGAUGUUGCAUAUGAGCAUGGAGUAAACAAAGUGGCUAUGAAAUAAAUUCCAUGCUCAUUAAUGUUAUCUUCGUCUCCAAUCUGAAUGUUCGGAGUUUCUUCUGGAUUGGUCUCACCUAUGUUCUCUUCUAUAGUUGGAUGAAUCUCAUCUUCAAAGGGAGUCAAGAACUCACCAUUUGAAAUUGAGCCAAAGUCAGAACCCAUUAAGGCUUCUUCCUUAUCCAUCCAUUUUACACAUUCUAGCCAUUUAGAACUUGUGAUCAAAAUAGGGGAGGUGUUAGAAUUUUCUAUAUGGCUUAGCUCUCCUUCUAUGGCAUCACUUGACAUGCCAUCCUUAUGGUCUUCAUGACUCCUAUGGUUUGGUCGUCUUGGUGAAUUGCUAGGAUCAUCAUGAGACUGAAAAGAAGAGGGAUAAGAGGGAUCUCUAAGGUCAAGGAUGGAUUUAGAACUUGUGAACAUGGAAGGGGAGUAGAUAGAAUUGUCUAUAUGGCUUAUCUCUCCUUCACUUGAUAUGUCAUCCUCGACUUCUUCAUGAUAGGAACCAGGACAUUCUCUAAGAGAAACAUUAUUGCAAGGAUUUGAAUUAUCCCUGCUUGAAGGUCUCUUAUAGAACCAGAAGUCUAAACCAUCAGCAUCUAAAAGAUUUAAGGUCGGAAUUCCUUCCUCCCUUGGAGAAUUUUGGGGUAUUGAUGGUUUAGGAUCGAUAGCUAAAGUUUGGGAUUGAAGUGGUUGUGAUCUGGCUAUCGAAACUUCUUCUUCUUGUCUAGGAACUGGUUCUUUCUCUUUCUCAGGGAUAUAAAAGCUAGGAGACUUUCCACUCAUUAAAUCAAUCAAAUUCCAAGCUUCACUAGCGGAUAGGUGGUGGAAAGAUCCUCCAGAGGCCGCAUGAAGGGUUUGCUUAUCUUCCUUACUAAGGCCCUCAAAAAAGUGAAUUAGAAGAACUUCUUCUGGAAUAGAAAGUUUUGGGCCAAUGAGAGUAAGGUUAAUAAAUCGGUCCCAUGAUUUGCCAAGAGAUUCUUCUUCCAGUUGUCUAAAAGAAAGAAUCUCACGCCGAAGUUCCACCACUUUGGAGAUUGGAAAAUAUUUAGAAAGAAAACUACUAUAUAACUUCUUCCAAUCUCCAUGAACACUCCCUACUUUGAGUUUAUACCAAUGUCUAGCUUUUCCCGUUAAAGAGAACGGAAAGAGCUUCCAUUUAAGGGUCUCAUCGGACAUGCCUUCUAUGCGAAGGAGGUCACAGACUCGAUAAAACUCUCUUAGGUGUGUGUAUGGGUUUUCCUCACCUUCUCCUGAGAAAGGUUGUUUUUGAAUAAAUUCUAUGUAUUUGGGGUCUAUCUCAAAACUAGAUGCUAUGAUAGGCUUUGAAGAUUUUGGUGGUUCGAGAUGUGUGCCCAUAGGUCUAUGAAAUUCAUAGAUAGACAUGUUUGAAUUCAUAAUAGACCAGAGAUCAAGGAUUAGAUAAGAAGAAAGAAUAGCAGAGAUGAGGCAAAGGAUAAAAGGAAAAUAUUUAUUUAUUUUUUAUUUAUUUUUUUAUAAAAUGAUUAAACUAGUUCGUAGUCAACUCAGCAACCGUUUCCCCGGCAACGGCGCCAAAAAUGCUUGUUGACACUUACUAACACCACUUGAAUACUAGGUUGUCAUCCCCAGCAUGGCACUAGAGUGUAUUAUGGUAUUUAUACGCACACAGAUAAUCCGCAAGCGCACGGAUACCGUUGAAGCUUUUACCCGGUUAAAGUUUUAUCGUAUCCAUAGGGAAAUGGGAGAACUGAUCUACGCUCUAACUUAACCAGGAUAAGUAAAUAGGUGUGAAUAGGAAAGAUGGUAGAAUCAAAUAAGAACAAUAUUAAAGGUAAGAUAAUAGUGAGUUAUAAUAUGGGAAUAGAUAGUAGAGCAAUUCUAGUAUAUGGGCGAUGGUAGCAGAAUAGAGAGGUUAACUAUGGUUUCUCUACUUCAAAGGGGUAUGUCUAUGUCUGGGACGAACCACGUGAUAAGAGUACACCACAAAGGAUGCUUAUCCUUAGGCCGAUAAACCCUACCCGUCCUGCUAACGAGAGGUGGACUACAGGGGACCAACGUAACUGUCACCUACGCGGCCUACCACACGAUCCAGCUAGUCAGGGGAUAUCCACAAGUAAUCUAGGUCUAAGCACCACGCUUACACCUAUACUACAACUCUAACCUAUAGGGUCCUAUAGAUUAGAAGUACUCAAAAGAGUUGUGAACCAGAACAUACAUGAUUAGUAAUUGCAUAAUGAAUUAGAAGUAGAUUACCAGAGUCAUCCCAUGAGCAAGCUUGAUUAGAGCUUGAUCAUGGCGAAGUACAACCGGAGGAAGAACCGACAGGCCGGCCUCUCCUCUAAUCCUCCUUCGCUCUCCAUCUCGCUACUAUCUAGAUCUACUCUAGUUUAGAGAAGAGAGGAGAGCUCUCAUCUCUAAACCCUAGCUUUUGCUCUGUCUAUGAAUAAUGAAUAAUGAUCAAGGGGGUGCCUCCUCCAGGGGCCAGGGGGUCUGGUUUUAUAGUCCCCUCAAGUGAACCUGGGCCGUCGGAUCAAACCGACAUUGAUUGAACGGUUAUUCUUGAUCCUUUAGGUCGGUGGAGCAUAAUCCGCGAGAUUGAGCGUGAUUGGCCACAGGAGGUGGGCGGGCGCCCAGUAGGACAGGGCGGGCGCCCUGUCUCUGGCCCCGUUUCGCCUCCGCUUCGGUCUCGUGGUUUCUGGAGCCUUCUAGAUGUAAGAUAAUUGCGCGGCAUGUUGAUAUCUCUAUGUAAUCCCGACGUGUGGGCCUUUCUUCCUUAUUUCCUGAUAACCCCCUGCAGAAAUAGACAAACACCAAAACUCGUGGAAUUCUGUCAGAUAAAACCCUAAGUCUAGAUGUUGAUUUCAUUUGGAUCCUUUUCUUUGUUUAUUUGAUAAUUAAAUUUGAUACUUAAGGACCGUCAACACGGAGUUCGCUAAAACGACGCUGCGGUUCACCAAAAACGAAGCCGAGGGCAUGGGGAGCAAGAGGGGGUUAACACGAGCUCACCUAGGGCAGAAAACGAAGGCGAGGAGGUCUCGGAGAGGGCGUUCGCCGCGAGACGGCGGGCGGCGGCUUCUGUAAAAGUUCGGCUAUGGUUAGAAAUCGAACCGGGGCGAGUUAACACUGGAGAAGGGUCUUGGCAUCUCCGCAAGGAUGAAACGAAGCUCGGCAACAUGCUCACUAGCUCGGUAAUGCGAUGAAUCAAUCCGGCGCCGAUGCUCACGCCACGACAAGAUCCAAACCGAAGCUAAGCAACUAUGGCGUCAAAUAGAUGGAAAAAGAAAGGGAUAGAGAGGUUCACGGGGCUUAAAAAGGGCGAAAUAAAUCUCCGACGCAGAAAAUCCCACAAAGAACGGAGAAGGGGGGUGCGGACUCUCCUUCUGGAUUCCAGCUCGCAUACGGCUUGGGGAGGAAGAAGGAAAGGGGGAAGGGGACGCUGCGUAGUGGGCUCCACCUGUCAGUGACCGGUGGCGCGGGGCCGGUUUGCCAGAGAGAAAGAGAGGGAGAUGGUCUGUGGUGCCCCAUGGGCCUGCACGCAAGGGGAGAGAAGGGAGUUGGGCCGAGCUAGGCCAUGUAGGAAAGAGGCAGGCCGAGGGAGAAGGGAAAGAAAAGGGGGAGAGGCCGAGAUGGGCUCUGGUGCCACUCGGGCCUAAAGCUGGGAUAGGGAGAUUGGCUGAUUUUGUUUGAUUUUUUGAAUGAAUUUUUAAACCCAAGGCAAUUUUGAAACCAUUUCAAAACAUUUUGAAUCAUUCUGAGUUUCUAGACAAAACCACUCAAUACAAGAAAACAUAUGCUCUGACAUGAAUGCACUAAUCACGCAGCUAAAUCCUAUGAUAAUUUUUAUUCAAAUGAAAAUAUUAUUUCUCUAUGUUUCAUGAGCGCUGAAAAAUACAAAUUUAAGUUAUUUUUCACCUAUUUCACAAUGAACUAAUUUUAGGGUGUUACACCGGGAAACUUUGUAUAGUAUCGUCUUAUCAGGCAAGUAACCCAAAUAUGGGGAGAAUCAGAGUAACCCGCUACUAGGCACCUAUAAGCCUAUCAAUCCUACCAAUAGGAGGUGGACUAGAGAGGAAUCAACGCAGCUAUAAAGUCACCUACGCGAACUACCACUAUCCGGGUGAUCAGGGGACAUUUAGAAGCAACCAUAGCCCAGACACCACGUCUACGCUACGAAUCACUACUCCGACCUAGGAGCUAUCCAAAUCGUAGUACUCAAUGUAAUAUGAGUUGCAAACCAAAGAACGAAUACAAACAAGUUGCUUACUUGAAUCAAAAGUGUAAAUACAAAAAGUACCUCAGAACGUGGUUCCGGGCGAGGGAGCCGAAUCCCAAAGAAUACAGCCACGAAGAAGCACUGACAGGCCGGAACUCCUCUAGAAUCUCUACUCCUCUACUCUAUCUCUCUCUAAUCUCUAUCUUGAAUGCUAGCCUAGAUCUAGUGGAUCUCUAUCUAAUGCUCUGGCUCUUCAUCUCUUGAUCUGGCCUCCUCCAGGGGGGUCUUGCCUUCUAUUUAUAGCCUACUAGGGUGAACGCACGCCGUUGGAUCAAACCGACUUAACAAGCAGUCGAGAUGGCUCCUUAGAGGCGGUGGAGGAAGCUUCCAAAAGGGGGGCCAACCCUAACCCUAGGGGGCCGGGCGGCGCUAGGGUGGGGCUGAUCGGCCCCACCUGGUGGUGUCUGCUGGUCCCCUUACUUCGAGAGUCUUCUGGAGUCUUUCUGAUCCCUCAGGUGUCCUCCUUCCAUCCCUGAUAAGUUUCAUGGUUAAUUGACACUUAAAUCCCUCUUUUCAGCACUUUCUGAAGUAAUCCCUGGAAAACAUAGAAUAUACAAAACUCGUGGAAAUUGCUAGUGAUAACCCUAUUCUAGUGGAUAUUCAUUUUUGGUGGAGGAAUAAAUGCUAAUAAAUUUUAUAAGUUAACAAGUGUCAAAACCUCUCAUCAGUACCAGUGUUCACCACUGUGAAGUCUGUAGGAACGUAUGAGUUGCCUACUCGUAGAUCUCUUCCAUGAUUCUCAUGGGGUAGCAGAGUGACUGAUCUGCAAGCUACAAACACAUGGUUGUAUGUGAUAAAGGAUAAUUGAAGAGUUUAUCAUAGAUCACCUUAGGCAUGAUGUUGAUGCUUGCAUCGAAGUCACAUAUUGCCUCGUUGAAGUUUGUACUUCUAAUGGAGAUCAGAAUAACUAGCCUUGAUUCUAUUGAGGAUGGUAGUAGUAGUAGUUGUUGUUGAUGUAGUUCACAUCCUCCCUCAGCUCUAGGAAAUUGGUACCUGUAUGCCCAGUUUCUCCACACUCUUCACAAGUCAUGCUAGAAUCAUGAAUGUGCAUGACUUCUUUCUUUUUAAUGGUUCUUUCAUCAAGUCGUUUCAUAAACAGGUUCAUCUUGGCAGCUAGCAUGUCUACCUCCUUGAGCUGGUGCAUUCCUCCACCUCUCUUGCGGGUCUGAGUUCUUUCUUCACUCCAACCUUGAUUGUAGGCCAUCUUUUCCACAAGAGCAGUGGCUUGAGAGAUAGUUAGUGAUAAGAAUGCUACUCCAGCAGCAGCAUCCAUAGUUACACGAGUACUGUUGCUGACCCCAUGAUAAAAUGUCUGCAUGUGCAGCCAAUUCUCCAUCCCAUGAUGAGGACACUCAAGUAUCUAGUCUUGAAAGUGCUCCCAAUCUUCUGGGACUGUCUCAUCAUGUUGUUGCUGAAAACUCGAUAUAUUCCCAUGCAGAGCAUUGGUCUUACUUGUGGGAAAGAACUUCACCAGGAAAUUGGUGGAACAUAGUGCCCACGUAGUAUUUGUUGACACUUGCUAACACCACAUGAAUACUAGGUUGUCAUCCCCAGCAUGGCACUAGAGUGUACAAUGGUAUUUAUACGCACACAGAUAAUCCGCAAGCGCACGGAUACCGUUAUAGCUUUUACCCGGUUAAAGGUUUUAUCGUAUCCACAGGGAAAUGGGAGAACCAACUACGCUCUAACUUAACCAAGAUAGAUAGAUAGGUAUAAAUAGGAAAGAUAGUAGAAUUGAAUAAGAACAAUAUUAAAGGUAAGCUAACAAUGGGUAAUAAUAUGGGAAUAGAGAGUAGACCAAUUCUAGUAUAUGGGCGAUGGUAGCAGAAUAGAGAGGAUAACUAUGGUUUCUCUACUUCAAAGGGUUAUUUCUAUGUCUGGGACGAACCACGUGAUAAGAGUACACCACAAAGGAUGCUUAUCCAUAGGCCGAUAAACCCUACCCGUCCUGCUAACGAGAGGUGGACUACAGAGGACCAACGUAACUGUCACCUACGCGGCCUACCACACGAUCCAGCUAGACAGGAGAUAUCCACAAGUAAUCUCGGUCUAAGCACCACACUUACACCUAUACUACAACUCUAACCUAUAGGGUCCUAUAGAUUAGAAGUACUCAAAAGAGUUGUGAACCAGAACAUACAUGAUUAGUAAUUGCAUAAUGAAUUAGAAGUAGAUUACCAGAGUCAUCCCAUGAGCAAGCUUGUUUAGAGCUUGAUCAUGACGAAGUACAACCGGAGGAAGAACCGACAGGCAGACCUCUCCUCUAAUCCUCCUUCACUCUCCAUCUCGCUACUAUCUAGAUCUACUCUAGUUUAGAGAAGAGAGGAGAGCUCUCAUCUCUAAACCCUAGCUUUUGUUCUGUCUAUGAAUAAUGAAUAAUGAUCAAGGGGUGCCUCCUCUAGGGGCCAGGGGGUCUGGUUAUAUAGUCCCCUCAAGUGAACGGUUAUUCUUGAUCCUUUAGGUCGGUGGAGCAUAAUCCGCGAGAUUGAGCGUGAUUGGCCGAAAUAGGUGGGCGGGCGCCCUAAGGACUUGGGCGGGCGCCCUGUCCCUGAGCCCUCUCGGCUUCCACUUUGUUCCCGUGGCUUCUGGAGUCUUCUAGAUGAUAGAAAAAUGCACGGCACGUUAAUAUCUCUAUGUAAACCCGACAUGUGGGCCUUCUCUCCAUAUUUCCUGAUAACCCCCUGCAGAAAUAGACAAACACCAAAACUCAUGGAAUUCUGUCAGAUAAAACCCUAAGUUUAGAUGUUGGUUGUAUUUGGAUCCUUUUCUUUGUUUAUUUGCUUAUUAUAUUUGGUACUUAAGGACCGUCAACAACUCCCCCAAGCUUACCUCUUGCUCGUCCCUGAGCAAGGAUGGACACAAGAGUUUUUGCAGUGGUUUUAUGCCUUAAAUGUUCUCAUGCGUUCAAACAAGAUCUCAUCCCUAGGUUAAGGUAAACUGUUAAGAUUUAAACUUACUCAUAUUACCUUCCACCAUGGGGCUUGUAGCAGUCACUUGUGUCUUGAGCAGUUAAAAGAUAGAACGGUCAAGUCAAGCACCAUGUCUCUUGUUCUUUGAUCAACUAUAGCUCUGGAGUUUUUGCAGAUUUUCAAAUAAAACUCAGAGAUUCCUUGUAUGACUCUCUCUAGUCUCUCUUUUGUGGUAUUUCUGGAUCCUUACCAAGGCAGUGAUAAUAUACGCCUUCUCUCAAAGUAUGUAGUAUUUGUGGUAUGAGGCAUAGUGAUAUUGCCUUCUCUCUCACCCUACUCUAAUAAGGUUUGAUAUUUGGAGCUCAUAGGUGGGAGACAGCUAAUACAUACUUACAAGACAUUUAUUGCAUAGUCAAACCAUGGAUCCAGAGAAACAAGUCAAUAAGUCAAACCAAGAUGUGCAUGUGUGGCGGAUGAAUGGUGUAUGGUGAUGAUGGUGAUAAUGGUGAAAAUAAUGGUGAAAGUCUAAUUCUACUUUUGCUUUUUUGAGGGGAUACAUACCUUUCUUGCACUUUGAAGGUUUUUGAGAGGAAUGAGAUGCUCUAUAUUUUCUUUUUCUUUUCUCUCAGGUGGGUAUCUUGUACCCCUAAUUCUACUGUCGGACACUUGUCCAUUUUCACCUCUCGUCUCACUUUUUCUUUUCUCUUUCGAGGUUCCGGGCACUUGCCCCUUUUUAUUUCCUCAUAUUUUUCUUCUUUUUUUUUAGAGCACUCACCCUCCUAGAAUAAUGUAGCAAGUGGUAGUAACCAAAAUAGCUCGAGCAUUUAUUUCACAAGGAAAAACAGGAAUGGGAUAAUGUUUUUGGCUAUUCUCUCCCGGAUAGGAGUAGAAUAAUUUUGGGUGAAUCUGGAGAUGGAAAUGAGUGGAUGUAUGUGGAUGCAUACUUCCGGAGUAGAAGCAGCAUGUAUGAGUGGACAUGCAAGUGAAUCUUGAUUAUAACAGCAUGACAAGCUCCUAAGGGUCUACACAGCUUGACCACACUCAAUGCUCAUAAGCAGUAAAAAGUAAAUGUAUGGUUCAUAGUCUAAUAAGCAUGUAUAUAUGGCUGUGGUAGGAUUUUAAACUCUCAUCAUACAGGAACUCAUCAUGCAACAUUUUACAGAUUUUCAAAGAUAAAUUUCUCCAGAAUUCUAGCAUCUCUAGGAACAGAUAAACAACAGCUCAACCUUUCCAUAUCAUAUCCGUUAACGACUUAGACUUUAGAUCAAGUACUCUUCCUACAAGUUCAGGUUUAGAGCAAAUCUUAAUUCAUAACAGUCAUGCCUAAACUUGAGAGAGAUUUCACUUUUGAGAACUAGUCAUGGCAGAGCAACUAUUCAUCAUGUCCAUGUGAGAGCUUAUCAUGAGGGUUCAUAGCAAACUUUAUUUAUUUAUUUAUUUAUUUAGCAAACUAAGCAAAGAUAUAUAAAUAUAUAUAUAUAUAAGCAUAAAAUGUUUAUUUGGGUUUUUAUGGUUAUGCAUCUUUUUAUUAUUUUAGUAAAGUAUAAACAUGAGUAGAAACACUUAGCUGGAUAAAUAGGGGUGCUCUCCUCCAAGCUGGAUUUUGACGUAAUUUCUUCUGAUGUAGCUAGCAGGUGACGGAGGUGUAUUUGAAUGUCGGCAGCACCCUGACAGCGAUUAGAAUGUCCUCCGUCUGCUAGUCUUCUUUGAUCCUUGAAUUCUGUGGAGCUCAAAUAGAUAACAAAGCUUUGUGGAACUGGUUAAGUGUUAGCAUAAAAUCUCUUCACCUUUAUCAUGUUGAGCUUCCUCUAAUAAAUAUUACUCUCUUUGGCAGGAUCAUAAAUUUAUUUUUAUAUUUUCAUUUCUAUAGGACAGGAAUAUAUUUAUUUUAUUUUUACGCCACCACAGUGAAUGUACUUAUGGGUUUUAUGCCACGAACAUACUCACAUGGGGCUUACUAUUUUUAACAUUUUUUUUUCAAGAUAGCAUGACUAACUAACAAGCCAUUUAAAGAAAGUAAGUAAUUAAAGGGAAAAGGGAAUGCAGAAAGGAUAAAUAUGUAUAACUACCGAUUCUACCUUUCGGCGAGGAUUCAAUGUUUUAAGUCUUCUGAACAAGACUUCUCACCGUGUUCAUUCUUCAGGUGCGUCAUUUGAUUCAGGUGUGGACCUUGACGUCUGCACCUCUUAAUACGGUGUCACCCAUGUUCUUCGUUUGUCCAGCAGUUCGAAGUGCGGCGUUGGCAGCAUCCUGCUCAGUGUGUUUGUGCUCGUAGAUCCAGGUCCCUCACUUGGUAGAGUCUGGGAGUUGAAAAACUUCACGAUGUUUUGCUCGAAGUGUACCUGCUCAUAGAGACAAGGCAGAGAUCAAGUGCAUGGGCCCUGUUGGUGGAAAACACUAACAGAACCAAAAGUGUAUUUGUUCUUCUCUAACCUUAAGCAUAGUGAGCAACGCAAAGUUGAUGGAUGAUAAGUUUCAUGAGUGUAGCACUUAUAAUAUUUGUCAGAUCAGGUCGCUUCAACCUUAUGGAAAGAUAAUCUAUCUAUGUAUAUAUCUUUUUCUUUAUAUCUCUCAAAGAUUGAAUGUGUAACAUUUUAGCUCAUAUGAUUAGGAGUGUGGGAUCAUGGAGGUAGUACUAGGAACAAAGAUUAAAGGACUAAACAUGCUGAAUCAGUUUGGUUGGUUAAUUUGGAGUUAUAAAUCAUACAUAUCCGUCUCUUUAUUUAUGUGAACGCUAGAACUAAGGAAAAGCUUAUAAAAAAUGAUAGCCACAUAUCUUAAGACGUUACCUUACUUGAAGAGUGAUGAUACAGUAUCACCUUGUGGAAGCUUUCCUUUCUUAGCGGUUGUGCAUCGUGUUUGUGGCACCCUCCAUGGAUCAUCUCUUAUGAGCUACGUCUUCCUUAUGUAAAUUGUUAAACUUGAUGUGUCUCUCUCCUUGUCUCCAAUGUGAGUUUAUCUCAGACUUCCCAGGUUGAUAUUGAAAGUUUUCCUGCAGGGGUUAGUCCGACAAAAUAUACCAAUAUCUACUCAAGCAAUUUUUAGUUCAGU
RNAcentral lists this long non-coding RNA (14510 nucleotides) under Sorghum bicolor (sorghum). Its description in RNAcentral is "long non-coding RNA (SBIC_LNC016022)". The stretch from base 9885 to 9993 matches the Rfam family "Plant small nucleolar RNA R71". Lineage: Eukaryota; Viridiplantae; Streptophyta; Magnoliopsida; Poales; Poaceae. The record is from RNAcentral.